AGGUCGCAGGUGAGACUAUAAAAUCUUGGCGAAGAUGUCCUGCAUUUCAGAACUUCUGAGCUUUACCGGGAUCUUAUCAAGAGCAACAGUUACAGAAUAUACUACUUACAGGUAUGUUUAUCAUGCAGCAUUGAUGUUCGUGUAUUGUCGUGCAUGAACUAACAGCGCCGGCUCGUUGUCUUGAAACACAUAAAAGUCUAGAUUUUUCAGCGAUCAUUGAGAGAAAUCAUGUGCGUCUCAUUGACAUACAGGUAAAUUAAGAUCAGAUUUCAUACCAAGUCUGUUUACUGCUUGGCGCGUUUACCACAUUACAUAGAGGCGAGAUACUCGACUGCAUCAUGUAAACGGUAGAUUACUAUAAGUUUCUAUAAUAGCCGGGAUCUCGCCGUUGCCGAGUAACUCGACUUGCUGGGUAACUCGCGCCUCCAUAUAAACAGGCCCAACUCUCAUGCACUCUUGUUUCAUCUCGGAUUUUUGCACUACCUAUACUGCCCACAGUAGCCUGCUCAAUGUUUCCCUCUACAAUUUAUAGAUAAAAUUCAGUUGUGGAAUUAUCAUGAAGACUUUUGCUAUUGUUGUUUUGGCUUUCAUUGUUGCUUUUGGCAACUGCGCAGAUCCUUCAAAGGAAAACGACGUCAGAAAUCACUUAAAUCGUAAGUAAUAUCAGGUCAAUUUCUAUAACUACAAUCAUCUUCAAAUGUAUUUUUUCACUGUCUUGGUGUACAAUGUACUAGGUGAAUAUAUGAUACUUGUGAUGUUACUCUGAGUGUAGAUCCACACCGGGCAAGCUCAGUUGGCAGAGCAUUAGGCUAGUAUUCCAAAGGUCGUAGUUUCGAUUCCCACCGUGGCCAAACCAUCAUCUUCAAAUGUGUUGGACAGAUGCCUCUAUAUUAUUAUGACAAACUUUGAUCCCCCCGCCUCUUUUUCUGUGAUUGGAUAAACAACAUUGAAUGAGGAUGGAGAUAUAAAUGUUUAUAAUAAUUUGCAUAUAUCCAGUGAUGAACUAAAACCACAAGUAUCCCAACAACUUUUGAAAAUGAUUGUUACCUAAAUCAUAAUCCCAACCCUUAAUACUAAUCUCAAACCUAACCAUAAUCGUAAUCUUAACUAUAUAAUCCAGAUCUCACAAUUUCAUCUAAUCUUAAGACUUAAACCUGGUUUACACUAUCAAAGUUUCUGUGAUCACAGUAGGAAUUUUGCAUCGGUAAAUUCUAAGUUUUGAAGGUUUUGUAAGAAAUGUUUGAGGAAACUGACUUACUGUUUAACACUGAAUCAGUUUCCUCAAACAUUCGUCACAAAUUCUUCAAAACGUAGAAUUUCCCUAUGCAAAAUUCCUACUGUGAUCACAGAAACUUUGAUAGUGUAAACCAGCCUUUAUAGUGAUGUAUAGUCUAUUUGUCAUAAUUGCGUUCCAUUCUAUUUCAACAGAUAAAACGUUCUGCGAUUGGCCUGGCUGCACAUGCUAUUACAACUUGGGUAUUUGUCCUCGAGGAUACUAUCCUUGCAGUUCAACGAGAUAUUGUGGUCUGCGAACCAACAAACCUUGCUGCUACUGAUAAACAACAUAUAAUUAAUAUCAACGUUGGGCCUUCAUGGAACAGUAUAAUUAGAUUUGUGUUAUAGAACUAUUGCGUAAAAAUGCAUGGUCAUGCUUUUGCUUAAACUGAUAAUUGUAAUGAUUUUUGAAUCGGUUUGGAUGCUAAUAAAUGUUGUAGUCUUGUACGCUGUGUUUAAUCGUGUAUUGCAUUCGUGUUGCAUGUUUGACAAAUUUUUAAUAAAUAGUUGAACUGAUUCAGUGUUUGACACUUAUAUAUACUUGGGAAGGUAUUUUUAAUCAUAUACAGGACAGAGGAAUGUCCAUAAUUGUUUACAACAACUUCUACGCUCUAUAUAAAUAUCACUAUAUACCAAUUUGAGAUCUCUCAAAACUAUUUGAUCACAGCGUUACUUGCCUUCAAGUCAUAAUAAUAUCAUUUCGAAUCUGAUUAUUCAGUGUAACUAUUAACCCGCAAUAUGAAUUUUGGCGUCAUAUUUCUAUCAUUCUAAGAAGAAGUGCAAUAUAUCUUGACAGUAAACACCUCAUCGGAAGUCGUCCGAUAUUGUGAAUUCAUCUAAUUCCGGAAACUACACUUAUUAUAGUGAGAAAUUUAAUUAAGGUUUUUUAAUAUAAAGAUAUAUCACACUUUCCUGCCUCCUCCCCAGGCUCUUAUGUUUAGCACACACAAGCGGCAUAUAUAAAUCAGUAGCAUCGAUGCUCCCUCCAAUCCACACAAAGCGACUGGGGACGAGGCAAUCAAUUUCUUCCUAGAAUAUCUCAAAUAUUACACAUACCAAAAAAUGGCGCCCUAUGAUCCAGCUAACAUAUUUCAUGUUGAAUCGGGAUGUAUCCUGCCCACGGUAAAAAUGCUAAGACGAUAAAAUCUCGUAUAAUUCAAUCUAUUCUUAUAUUUGUUUGUUCAGAGUCAAUUCAUCUCGUUUCGGCUUGCAAAAGUUGCUUUAUCACAACUUGCUACAAGGUUAACGAGAAAAAAGCGCUCGCUGCAAGGCUGUUCUAAAAAGUCUGGUCAUGUUUCCACUACUUGUUCCCAGCUCGUUACAAGAUUCACGCGUCAACAAACUUGUUCCAACAACUGUUGUGUGUUCCCAUUUUGGUUUUCAACAUUUUGAGAUUAAUAGCAACAUUCAAUCGCGUAUUAAAAAUUUGAAAUAUAAACCUCUCUUACUUGCGCUGUUGUUUUAUAAAUAUUGUGGUACCUCUAGACCAACGAGAAGUUUGUAGAGAGUGAUAGGCAUUGUCUUCAUUCGUAACU
Molecule: non-coding RNA, 2810 nt
Organism: Paramuricea clavata
Lineage: Eukaryota; Metazoa; Cnidaria; Anthozoa; Malacalcyonacea; Plexauridae
Source: the annotation of a GenBank genome assembly